RNAcentral lists this ribosomal RNA (253 nucleotides) under uncultured bacterium. RNAcentral's name for it is "partial 16S ribosomal RNA". It matches the Rfam family "Bacterial small subunit ribosomal RNA", at positions 524 to 776 of the family's 1533-position model. The record is from RNAcentral.
UACGUAGGGGGCGAGCGUUGUCCGAAGUUACUGGGCGUAAAGCGCGCGUAGGCGGGUUGGCAAGUCUGCUGUGAAAGCCCGGAGCUUAACUCCGGAGGGUCGGUGGAUACUGCCAGUCUUGAAGAGGCUAGGGGGAGAUGGAAUUACCGGUGUAGCGGUGAAAUGCGUAGAGAUCAUGAGGAAGACCAGUGGCGAAGGCGGGUCUCUGGACAGUUCCUGACACUGAGGCACGAAGGCCAGGGGAGCAAACGGG